CCUGGAUAUUUUGGCGCUCGGCCUUAUCUCAUCCUGGCCGCGCCGCUCAACGCAGGGAGAAAAUCCCACUGCCCCUCUCCCUGAUCCUUAUCCCUACGCACGCAGGCUACUUAUCCCCAGUCAUCUUCUCCUUCCCUGCAGCGGCGUGCUCCUAUGCUCCUCCCCAGCGUCCCUCACCGAGCACCCUCUGGCCCAGCUCCUCGCCAUUUUGCGCCCUCGGAGUCGUCCGGUCCAGUGUGCUUCGGUGGAUGGGCGUCGACUCCCCGGCGUCGGCUUCGAGCUCCCUCCCUCAACGCCGUCCUCCCAGCAGCGAGUGUCUCUCUUCCUCGACGUCUCUUCCAUGGUUGCGGCUCCCUCUCUCUUUCUGGCCUCCACUGCCGCGUCACUGGAUCGGUCCUGCUCGCCCCCAUGGCGCCUGGGUGGAUCUCCCUCCUCCCUGAAGCUUUUCCCCAUGGCGCCCAGUCUUGGUUGCUCCCUGUGCCGUGGAGUCUCCUGCGCGCCCAGCCAUUUCUUUCUUCUCCCUCAGCUCGCUCCCUGUUCGCCGCGUGCUCUGGAGUCCUCUCUGCACCGCACCGUGAAGCUCCCAUGGCGCCCUGCUUCUCUCCCUACUGGCGCGCCGUGGAGCCCUUGCUUUCUUUCAUGCAGCGCCUGCUUUCCUUGCCGCGUGUUGCCUCAGCUCCCUCGUCGCGGAUCCUGCUCGCGAGCAUGCUCCUUCCCUGAAGAUUUUCCCCCAUGGCGUCCCUGUUUUUUCUUCUUCCCUGCGCGCAGCUCGUUCUUUCUCUGUUUGCCGCGUGCGUCUCUCUCUGCGCGCUUCUCUCUCCCGCCCCUUCUCUCCCAUGGUGCGCCCUGGUCCUUGCUUCUUUCUCUCUCUGCUCAUCCCCAAGCUGCGUCCUGGAGUUUGAGUUCGUCAUCUUCAACCUUGGUCCAAGCCACUCGCUCUCUGCCACGCGCCAUGGAACUCUCUGCGUCGCGCGUGGUCCUGCUCUUCUCACCGCGCUCGGAUUCCGUCUCCCUGCGCGCACUCUCGGAUUCCGUCUCCCUCACGCACCCCUUGCCGAACCCGUGGUCACGGUCUCGCCUUGCUGCCACAGCCGCGCCUACUACCGCGACCGACCUGCUCCCUUGUGCGCGCUCUGCUUCCUUGCCGAGCUCAUCCCUGUGCACUGAGGUCGCGUGCAGCUCGUGCCCUGCUCGGUUGCUGCUUCCUGUUCCCCGUGUCUGAGCUCGUCCUCGACCUCGUCGUACGUCGUUCUUUGGUCCCGGAUUGGUGGUCGUGCGGGUGCUGUUGGUGAUGGGCGACAAUUGUUGCCAUCGUGGUGCCGAUCUUCCCUGCCGACCUUGCCGUAAUCCAUAGUCGCGACCUCGCCUAACGCAUUCGUCGCUUGGCCCUGUGCCGUUUGGCUCGGCGACCGUGUUCGCUACCGUGUGCGCUUGUUCCUAAUGCGCAUCGUGCCGUAGUUCAAUCUCGCCGAUUGACUCCCGCUAUUCGCCGUGCUGUGUGCUGGCGUUCUCUCGCGACGGACCACGCCGUCGUCUAGCCUUAUUCGCUUCGCCGUAGCACCAUCGUCAUCUGCCAGCUCCAUCACCCGUCAUUUUUGGUAUUUUCCCCAACACCGCGCCUUUCUGAUCUCGUCGUUCGUCGAUGCAAUUUAUGUGUGCGGAUGAAGAAAGUGAAGCCAGUGUAUAUAGCUCGCGGGUGUUCAGCUGAAGGUCGUCGUCGUCGUUCCGUGCGUCGUCAAGAAAUCCCAAGCAUCGGGUGAAGAUGAAGCUAGCAGCGUGAUGUUCACCAAGUGCGCGACAAAAAGCUCGAACAUGUCGUCGAUCGUCAUCCUCGUCUACACCAAGAUCUGAGAAGAUUAGGCGCAGAAGAAAAUAAAUCAGUACGCGGCCGAAGAAUUCUCGAUGUGGACAAAGAAGCGCGAUUUGACGUAGCACUCACCCUAUUUCCGGUGAAAUGCUGAGCUGAAAGGCGUCGAUUUCGUGGUUUCAAGUCGGAUGUCAUAAGGGUUAUAGUUUUGUGCUGCUGAUGAUGGUGUUAAGUGCCGGUGGGCUCGACCUUCUUAUAAGUCUAAAUAACUCUCCUAUACUUCUUAUUGAGGAUGGUCACUUGAGCUAGCAUAUAUAUCAAACUUAUACUUUUGUAAUCACUCCGAUGAAUAUAAUGUAAAACUUUUGUAACUUGUAAAAUUUGAUAAUAAGAUUUCCGUUGCAAAAAUAUUGGUGUGUGUGAUUUGUGUUACUUAAUCUUGUGGUCCUGGUUAUAAGUGGUUUAUCCGAUGUCCUUAGGGCAAUCGGACGGAUCCUGUUAAGUUAUCUGGUGCACAUGCAUAGCCGUCUG
This 2338-nucleotide unclassified non-coding RNA is filed under the name Zea mays. RNAcentral's name for it is "misc RNA Zm00001eb308190". Lineage: Eukaryota; Viridiplantae; Streptophyta; Magnoliopsida; Poales; Poaceae. The record is from RNAcentral.